AGAGUUUGAUCAUGGCUCAGGAUGAACGCUAGCUACAGGCUUAACACAUGCAAGUCGAGGGGCAGCGGGAUCUAGCUUGCUAGAUUUGCCGGCGACCGGCGCACGGGUGAGUAACGCGUAUCCAACCUUCCCCUUAGUAGGGCAUAGCCCGUAGAAAUGCGGAUUAAUACCCUAUGUUGUUCAAUGCGGACAUCUAAUUUGAACCAAAGGUUUACCGCUAAGGGAUGGGGAUGCGUCCGAUUAGGCAGCAGGCGGGGUAACGGCCCACCUGGCCGACGAUCGGUAGGGGUUCUGAGAGGAAGGUCCCCCCACAUUGGAACUGAGACACGGUCCAAACUCCUACGGGAGGCAGCAGUGAGGAAUAUUGGUCAAUGGGCGCGAGCCUGAACCAGCCAAGUAGCGUGCAGGACGACGGCCCUAUGGGUUGUAAACUGCUUUUUAUGCGGGGAUAAAGUGCGGCACGUGUGCCGUUUUGUAGGUACCGCAUGAAUAAGGACCGGCUAAUUCCGUGCCAGCAGCGGC
This 522-nucleotide ribosomal RNA is filed under the name uncultured bacterium. Its description in RNAcentral is "bacterial SSU rRNA". It matches the Rfam family "Bacterial small subunit ribosomal RNA", at positions 8 to 518 of the family's 1533-position model. The record is from RNAcentral.